ACGAACGCUGGCGGUGCGCCUUAUGCAUGCAAGUUGAGCGAAGCUUUUUGGUAGUUUACUACUAGAAAUGACUGAGCGGCGAACGGGUGAGUAACGCGUGAGCAAUCUACCUUAGUUACUGGGAUAGCCCGAGGAAACUCGGAUUAAUACCAGAUAUUCUUAUUUUUUCACAUGAAGUUUUAAGGAAAGGUCAGCCGAACUAAGAUGAGCUCGCGUUCUAUCAGCUAGUUGGUGGGGUAAAAGCCUACCAAGGCAACGACGGAUAGCUGGUCUGAGAGGACGAUCAGCCACACUGGGACUGAGACACGGCCCAGACUCCUACGGGAGGCUGCAGCAGGGAAUAUUGUGCAAUGAGCGAAAGCUUGACACAGCGACACCGCGUGUGGGAUGACGGUUCUAGGAUUGUAAACCACUUUCAGGAGGGAAGAAAAUGACGGUACCUCCACAAGAAGACCCGGCCAACUAUGUGCCAGCAGCCGCGGUAAUACAUAGGGGUCAAGCGUUGUCCGGAUUUAUUGGGCGUAAAGAGCUCGUAGGCGGUUCAACAAGUCGGUCGUAAAAGUUUAGGGCUCAACCCUAAAAUGUCGAUCGAUACUGUUGUGACUAGGGAUACGGUAGAGGUGAAUGGAAUUCCGAGUGUAGCGGUGAAAUGCGUAGAUAUUCGGAGGAACACCAAUUGCGAAGGCAGUUCACUGGACCGUGAUCGACGCUGAGGAGCGAAAGCUAGGGGAGCAAACAGGAUUAGAUACCCUGGUAGUCCUAGCUGUAAACGAUGGAUACUAGAUGUAGGAACUGGAUUGACGGUUUCUGUAUCGUAGCUAACGCGUUAAGUAUCCCGCCUGGGGAGUACGGUCGCAAGACUAAAACUCAAAGGAAUUGACGGGACCCCGCACAAGCGGCGGAGCAUGCGGCUUAAUUCGAUGAUACCCGUAGAACCUUACCUGGACUUGACAUAUAGGGAAAAACUGGAGAAAUCCAGUGUGCGUAAGCGCCCUUUACAGGUGGUGCAUGGCUGUCGUCAGCUCGUGUCGUGAGAUGUUGGGUUAAGUCCCGCAACGAGCGCAACCCCUGUCCUAUGUUGCCAGCAAGUAAUGUUGGGGACUCAUAGGAGACUGCCGGUGAUAAACCGGAGGAAGGUGGGGAUGACGUCAAGUCAUCAUGCCCCUUAUGUCCAGGGCUGCACGCAUGCUACAAUGGCAAGUACAACGAGUCGCAAUACCGCGAGGUGGAGCAAAUCUCUUAAAGCUUGUCUCAGUUCGGAUAGGAGUCUGCAACUCGACUCCUUGAAGUUGGAGUCGCUAGUAAUCGCAAAUCAGCAAAGUUGCGGUGAAUACGUUCUCGGGGUUUGCACUCACCGCCCGUCA
Molecule: ribosomal RNA, 1364 nt
Filed under: uncultured Actinomycetes bacterium
Lineage: Bacteria; Bacillati; Actinomycetota; Actinomycetes
Description: uncultured actinobacterium 16S ribosomal RNA
Rfam family: Bacterial small subunit ribosomal RNA
Source: RNAcentral